AACGAACGCUGGCGGCGUGCUUAAUACAUGCAAGUCGAACGUGAAAUCCGCUUUCGGGCGGAGAGUAAAGUGGCGCACGGGUGAGUAACGCGUGGAUAAUCUACCCUGAGGCCCGGGAUAACUCGCCGAAAGGCGGGCUAAUACCGGAUAAUGUCCCAUUACCCAAGUAAUGUGACCAUAGGAGGCCCUGCUUCCGCCACAGGAUGAGUCCGCGUACCAUUAGCUAGUUGGUAGGGUAAUGGCCUACCAAGGCUACGAUGGUUAGCUGGUCUGAGAGGACGAUCAGCCACACUGGAACUGAGACACGGUCCAGACUCCUACGGGAGGCAGCAGUAGGGAAUAUUGCGCAAUGGGGGAAACCCUGACGCAGCGACGCCGCGUGAGCGAUGAAGGCCUUCGGGUCGUAAAGCUCUGUCAGGUGGGAAGAACCCUCCGUCGGUGAAUAAUCGGCGGAGCUGACGGUACCACCAGAGGAAGCACCGGCUAACUCCGUG
Molecule: ribosomal RNA, 494 nt
Filed under: uncultured bacterium
Lineage: Bacteria
Description: bacterial SSU rRNA
Rfam family: Bacterial small subunit ribosomal RNA
Source: RNAcentral